This is a long non-coding RNA of Drosophila albomicans, 378 nucleotides long. RefSeq lists it as uncharacterized. The transcript is spliced from 3 exons. NCBI's taxonomy places the organism in Eukaryota, Metazoa, Arthropoda, Insecta, Diptera, Drosophilidae. The record is from RefSeq and is a predicted model, not a curated record.
UUUUUAAUCAACUGCAAUCUUUGCUUACACGGCUUCUGAACAAAGAUCGGAGUUUUAUUGAACGUAACCUGUCAAAUUCUGAUUAUGUUUGGGAGGACAUGUCUGAUUUGGAACCUGCCGCCGAACCGUUGGCAAGCGAGCCAUAUUGCCCAUACAUUGCUAUUACGAACUCGAAAUCGAGAAUAUGAGUAACUUGUUGGCCUUACAAGCGAAUUGCAAACAACUUUACGAGUGGCGCAACUUUCGAAGAGAUAUGUCAAUGCUGCAAUGCAAAUUGUGUAACGUAAUGUUAGAAAGCGUCACCCAAUUGCGCUUGCACUUGCUUACCCAACUACAUCGCGAUCGGGAAAAGCAGAUCGGAUGGAAACCUCUGUAAAA